RNAcentral lists this ribosomal RNA (348 nucleotides) under Triticum aestivum (bread wheat). RNAcentral describes it as "partial small subunit ribosomal RNA". The record is from RNAcentral. Lineage: Eukaryota; Viridiplantae; Streptophyta; Magnoliopsida; Poales; Poaceae.
AUGAGGACGCCAAGGCAAGCAUCCGUGCCCAGUGCGCGCACCCCACUGCGAGAGAGCCACGCGUCGAGCCACUCACUCAUCCGCAACCAUGAAGGACGGCACACACGACGCUGCGAGGGCACAGUGCAUCACCUGAAGCAGCACAAAGGUUGUGGAGGAGCAACUCCACCUUGCUGCUACAAUGUUUACAGCACAAGUGUUGAAGGAACAACUUCAACAUGCUGCGCUAGAUAUCGAUUUAGAGGCGAAUGUAGGCUGAUAUGGCAGCAAGAGUUCAAUCCAGAACUCCUAGAGCACAAGAUCUACUCCAAGAUCUUAGAUAAGAACAACAAGUUCUAUUAUAGGUAG